This 443-nucleotide ribosomal RNA is filed under the name uncultured bacterium. RNAcentral describes it as "partial 16S ribosomal RNA". It matches the Rfam family "Bacterial small subunit ribosomal RNA", at positions 338 to 795 of the family's 1533-position model. The record is from RNAcentral.
CCUACGGGUGGCAGCAGUGGGGAAUAUUGGGCAAUGGAGGAAACUCUGACCCAGCAACGCCGCGUGAAUGCUGAAGGUUUUCGGAUUGUAAAGUUCUUUUCUCAGGGAAGAAGCAAGUGACGGUACCUUAGGAAUAAGCCACGGCUAACUACGUGCCAGCAGCCGCGGUAAUACGUAGGUGGCGAGCGUUAUCCGGAAUGACUGGGUGUAAAGGGUGCGUAGGUGGUUUGGCAAGUGAGUAGCGAAACGCCAAGGCGCAACCUUUGAACUACUAUUGAAACUGUUUUACUUGAGUGCAGGAGGGGCAACCGGAAUUCCGUGUGUAGCGGUGGAAUGCGUAGAUAUUAGGAGGAACACCAGUGGCGAAGGCGGAUUGCUAGACUGUAACUGACACUGAGGCACGAAAGCGUGGGGAGCAAACAGGAGUAGAUACCCUAGUAGUC